GUGCUGGGAAAGAAUGAUGACGUUACCAUAAAAUUAACACUUCGGGGCCGCACUUGAACGGUGAAAUGGCCCAGCUACUCCCAACCUUCCUUUUCCUGCAAAUUUGGUACUUCACUGCGGGCAUGUGAGCGGUGAAGCUUUAGGGCGUUAACAAGGGCUUUAUACCGUACUUUGUGGUAAGGCUGCGUACGAAAGGGGAAGGAUAGAUGUGGAAGUGGACGGGUCUGUUCGAAUCACGAGCAAACUGAUUAACCUAAUCGGAACACAGAAUGCAUAAGUGAAGGAUUAGCCGAUAAAAAUGGAUGCUAUAUUAGACUCUGUAUUAUUCGAGACCAUGAGACAGCAGCCUGCUUGAUCGCCGGCAACCAAGAGGGUGUGUUUGCCACCCGAGAACGAUAAACAAGCCUUGUGGCUCUUCCUACCUGAAUUCUCUAAGUGCAUUGAAAGUGUCGAACGUCUUACUGCGGCUGAGGGGCGUUUGUUGGAAAGGCGAGGCGUAAUCCUUGAGGAGUUCAUCGGUCGUGGCUAACCGCAGAUUCGUGGUCUUAGCACUGAGGGUCGAGGUCAAGGGUUAGUCGUAUUAAGGGGUUAACGCACGGGCGAUAGGAUAGUUAAGUUGUGAUUAUGUAUUUUUUAGUGAUAUCGUCGCCCGUGGUUAGAGGGUUGCAGAUGUGUACAUGAAUGAAGGGUCUGAGUAAGCAAGGCUUAUAACUGAUGAAUAUGAACCCUACAAAAUAUCAUUAUGACAGAGCAAAGAAAUGGAAAGUUUUCUCAAAAUAAGGUCUGGUUAACUUCGGUAAGCUUGAAUUUUUGCAUAGAGGUUCCUUAAGUCAUGUUAACCAACAUAUCAAAAAGUGUUUUUCUCUAAUGGAUUUGUCUUCGAGAUAUGAGGCUUAAAGUGCAAUUUGCAAAUGUUUAAAGUAUGAAUUCUCCUCGUUUUUAGGGAGAAAUCGGGCUCUGAUCAGAAAUUAAGCCAACUUUGCUCGCUAAUAUCUAAAUUUCAUAUCUUCUAAAUUUCUUUAAAAUUUGGAAUUAAGCUUUUGGUCAGAGGAACUCCUUGUUUGCGGAAAAUUCCAUGCCACUUUUUUGCUCUGUCUAUCAUUAUGAGUAUUUCAAGGUUGUGAGUUUCAAGGGGGCUUUUGUUAUCGUGACAUAAAUGUUGGAAAGAGAAAUAUAAAAUAAGGUGAAAUUAUAGUUUUGAUGGGAAUCUUUAUUAAGUAACAAAGCUAUAUAUAUUAUUCUUCACAUGAAAUCUUAUAUAUGCAAUAGAUAACUAAAGAGCCAAACUGACAGCAGGUAGAACUCUGUGAUAGGGAUAUUAAAAAAAAAAAAACCUAAAAUAAAAGAUAUUUUGAAAAAUGUCUGAAUAUCUUGAGAAUAAAGUAACAUUCUGACAAAAAAAACUAAAAAGGGGAAAAUCAUGUAAUAAAAGCGCACAGACAUUUUUACAUGGAGAUCCUAAUUAAAUAGGAUGAAAUGCAAAGAAAGUGAUAUUGUAUUACUAUUGAUUAUAACAAUCAAACACAAUGGUUCAUGUCUUCCAGGGGAAACUCAUAACAUUUCUUACUUUUAGCUAGUUUCUUAAUUUACAACUUCUUAACGCUGUUUGAAAAAACAGCGCUA
Long non-coding RNA from Nematostella vectensis (starlet sea anemone), 1623 nucleotides. RefSeq lists it as uncharacterized. The transcript is spliced from 2 exons. NCBI's taxonomy places the organism in Eukaryota, Metazoa, Cnidaria, Anthozoa, Actiniaria, Edwardsiidae. The record is from RefSeq and is a predicted model, not a curated record.